GAUGCUUGAUUUGUCCAUUGCAGGACAUCGAAGCCUUGGCUUUUCCGGUGGUUCUGUUCCAGGAAGGCGCGAUACCUCGGGAACGAAGUCCAUCAUGGUUGCUGGUGCAUUUACAUACAGAUUUACUGCCUUUUGUGCGCUCAUCUGGGAUGUAGCCUUGCCUGGUCCUGCACAGAGGCCUCGACCGGGUCCGGAGGAAUACUCCAAGAUAUCCCCCACAGCUUUAAGAUGUAGGAAAUAAAUCAGAAUGUUUCAUCUAAUAAAAAUCUAUUAAAUUAAGCUGGGGGCCGUAAGCUUUUUGACGCACGCAAGUUUCCGUACAACGAUCAGAUGUAUGGAAGGUGUGGAUGCCUGUCUUGGACUGGCAUACAAAUCUGCCUUCGUCCUAACCAUUAUGCUCAAGGAAUGGUAUUUUAAAUUAUUUCCUUGCUGGUAUCAGAUAAGGUCCAGGGCAGGAGGGACCUUGCAACAAUGCGGCAUUUGACCGCAGAGCCAGCAGGUAUGACAAAGCGCUAGCGGUGGAUUGAGGCACAAUAAUUUCAUUGCUUUGUUACGUUUCACGUGCGACCUCCAAAUUCUGGGACGCAGAAGGCGCUGAACUUGCCCCACACUGGACUCCAUCUGACGAGAAAGCGCUCCUUUUUCAAGCGGAAACGGUUACGGAUAAGGAGUAUGUAGUUUAAUAUGACAUUAAUCUAUGAUAUGGUGCGGGUGUAUGCUUUUUCCUGAGCGGCGCUGUCUUACACAAAGGGCUGGGCUGCACAUGGAUUCAUGGAUCAAGCACGGACCCCGACCUCACCAAUCGUGCAAUGCCAGCGUCCAUACAUAGUAAAAAUUAAUUGUUGCUAAUGUUUUUCUUAUCAUCGGUGAUGCAGCGGCAAGAACAGCGCAACAUUUGUUUAUGCUUGCAGGUAUGGGGUCACGCACCCCCAACCAUGUAACACACACACAUACACAUGCGUAAACGCACGCGUGGCCAAUGCUUGCUGUCGUCUAUCUACAGCGCCAUGCAAAUCAACAGUUGUGCCUGCGUGGUUUCCAAACUUUGUGAGUAUAUGAGUGUGUGUGUGUAUAUGAGUGUGUGUGUGUGUGGUUGUUGCAGUGGGCUCCAGACUCACGAAGAGUAGAGCCAGGGGGUCAGCUGGCCGUGCACUGCAUUACAGACUAACAUACACACUAGACUCCCACCCAAAUGAGACAACGCAAGUCAUCUAGACAGCCAAAUACAUGUCAUGAUAAUAUCAUCCAUACGGAUGGUGGGCUUAAUGUAUUAGACCAUAGUAAGGAAUGAAGCCGUGGAGGAGUAGGACGGAUGUGCGGAGUGCUGGGUGGUGCACGGGGCGGCCGUUGCGGGGGUUAUCCCUGAGCACGUCAGUGGUCCACCGAGGGGUUGGAUCUGAAGGCGGGAUAGCAGCAUGUACCGAAGGUAACUAGGGUGGGCAGAAGGAGCGAUACAAUUGUAUGAUGCUUUGGUCGGAUGUAGGUAUGCAAGCUAAUGGGUACAGCGGCAUA
This 1512-nucleotide long non-coding RNA is filed under the name Volvox carteri. RNAcentral describes it as "long non-coding RNA (VCAR_LNC002853)". Lineage: Eukaryota; Viridiplantae; Chlorophyta; Chlorophyceae; Chlamydomonadales; Volvocaceae. The record is from RNAcentral.